RNAcentral lists this ribosomal RNA (292 nucleotides) under uncultured Paeniglutamicibacter sp. RNAcentral describes it as "partial 16S ribosomal RNA". It matches the Rfam family "Bacterial small subunit ribosomal RNA", at positions 505 to 796 of the family's 1533-position model. The record is from RNAcentral. Lineage: Bacteria; Bacillati; Actinomycetota; Actinomycetes; Micrococcales; Micrococcaceae.
GUGUCAGCCGCCGCGGUAAUACGUAGGGCGCAAGCGUUAUCCGGAAUUAUUGGGCGUAAAGAGCUCGUAGGCGGUUUGUCGCGUCUAUCGUGAAAGUCCGAGGCUCAACUUCGGAUCUGCGGUGGGUACGGGCAGACUAGAGUGAUGUAGGGGAGACUGGAAUUCCUGGUGUAGCGGUGAAAUGCGCAGAUAUCAGGAGGAACACCGAUGGCGAAGGCAGGUCUCUGGGCCGUUACUGACACUGAGAAGCGAAAGCAUGGGGAGCGAACAGGAUUAGAUACCCGAGUAGUCC